Molecule: small nucleolar RNA, 132 nt
Organism: Pteronotus mesoamericanus
Lineage: Eukaryota; Metazoa; Chordata; Mammalia; Chiroptera; Mormoopidae
Product: small nucleolar RNA SNORA13
Exons: 1
Source: RefSeq, a predicted model, not a curated record
AGUCUUUGUGUUGCCCACUCACUUUUGGUCACUAGUAAAUGCGGCAUCAAAAAAGGAGUAAACUAAACACUUUGCUGACCAUUCCUUCCUUGAAUUGGUAUCUUUGGUUUAGCAGCUGCAUAAGCAAGAGUU